Molecule: ribosomal RNA, 360 nt
Filed under: uncultured bacterium
Lineage: Bacteria
Description: bacterial SSU rRNA
Rfam family: Bacterial small subunit ribosomal RNA
Source: RNAcentral
GACGAACGCUGGCGGCGUGCUUAACACAUGCAAGUGGUGCGACGAACCAGGGCUUGCCCUGGGGCAAAGCCGCGAACGGGUGAGUAACACGUGAGUAACCCUGCCCCGAUGACCGGGACAACCCGAGGAAACUCGGGCUAAUACCGGAUGUGGUACACGGACUUAAGCCCGUGUACUAAAGGAGCUUCGGCCUCCGCAUUGGGAGGGCUCGCGGCCCAUUAGCUUGUGGUGGGCAACGGCCCACCAAGGCAACGAUGGGUAGCUGGUCUGAGAGGACGAUCAGCCACACUGGGACUGAGACACGGCCCAGACUCCUACGGGAGGCAGCAGGUGGGGAAUCUUGCGCAAUGCGCGAAAGCG